Molecule: long non-coding RNA, 1398 nt
Filed under: Prunus persica (peach)
Lineage: Eukaryota; Viridiplantae; Streptophyta; Magnoliopsida; Rosales; Rosaceae
Description: long non-coding RNA (PPER_LNC001445)
Source: RNAcentral
AGAGGAGAAAACAUGGGUCCUAAUUCAAAUUAACAUUCAUAAUUCGCCAUCAUUGACGGGAAGACCCGAAUUAAUCCCCUUAAUUAUGCCACGAAGAAGCAUAAACACAUUUUAAGAAUAACAUCUGCUCUGUGAGAGUUUGUGGAGACAGACAGAUCCACCACCCACCAUCCAGCUGGUUCUCAAAAGGCAAUUCUAAUGCUACCUGCGGGUCGUGAAGAAAAGAGGAAGAUUUUUCAAUUUAAUUAGCCCCCAAAAAAUAGCAUGGAAAAUACCCCCAAAGGGCCCUAAAUAUACCCUUACCCACUGGGCAUAUUUGUCAAUAAACACUGAAAUUAGGGAUUUUUUCAGGACCCAAACACAAUUGCUAUAGUCGGUGACCCAGAGCCUAUCAAAUUAUAAACUCAUUACGUGUUGCAGUUGGAAUUACAGCUUUAUUCUGUUAGAAUAAAUGAUUAAUUUACACCGACUUGGCUACGCCGCUUUUUUGGUCCAAGCGAAAAUAAAAUAAUUGGAUCUGGAUUUGUAAUUUGCCGCUUUUUAUUUGCAGGUAAUGAAAAUGAAAUAACAAUUUGGAUAUUAGUUAAUUUUGAUAUCACAAGCUAGACAAACACCAUUCUCAAAGCAACUCAAGCAUCAAACACAGGAGGAGGAGGAGGAGGAAGACAAACGAAAUAAAAUCAAUGAAUUAUUUACUCAUAAUAAGGAUAAUAAUCGAAAUCCACAAAUACAAAACCCAUAGUAAUAAACCAAGUGCAUUAUAUAUGUAGUCUAUGCACCACAAAAACCCAUAUGACACUGAAAAUCCUAUAGAUCCAUAAUCACCAGCUACUAAAAUGACAAACGCUACUAAUAAAAAACCAAUCAGAAACCCAACCGCUCUCUACACAGCCCCAACCAUAGUUGCAGUAGUAAGCGAAGACUCAAACCCUGAGCGCAGAUCCGAAGACGAUAGCGGCGAAGGCGGCGGCGAAAGCAGAGAUGAACGACGGGGAGAUGGAGGCGGAUGCGGAGGUUGGGCUAGGAGCUGGAGAUUCGGCGGCCUGAGCGGCGCCGAUGACAGAAAGGACGGUGACGAAGACCGCCAUGAGAGCCACGAGUGAAGUUGCCUUUGAGACUGCCAUUGUUGAUUGGUGUGAGAGUUUCUUGUGCUUCGGAAUCUAGGGUUUUGGGAAUACGCCGAGAGACUGAAGCACAAAUAUCAGAGGUGGAAUGAAGUAGGCUCAAGGAACGUAUUUAUAGCGGGGAUUUUGGGCUGGGGUCGGGCAGCCUGGGCAGCUGCCCGGUUCUACAGGCUGGCUACUUGUGAUUGGUUCAGCGCGACAGCUCACACCGCUGGUCGGGGUAAAUUUUUCUCUGUGGGCCCCACUAGAAACCAGUGUCUACGCGGAGUCGUUU